Molecule: ribosomal RNA, 484 nt
Filed under: uncultured bacterium
Lineage: Bacteria
Description: partial 16S ribosomal RNA
Rfam family: Bacterial small subunit ribosomal RNA
Source: RNAcentral
AUUGAACGCUGGCGGCAGGCCUAACACAUGCAAGUCGAGCGGAUGAAGGGAGCUUGCUCCUGGAUUCAGCGGCGGACGGGUGAGUAAUGCCUAGGAAUCUGCCUGGUAGUGGGGGAUAACGUCCGGACACGGGCGCUAAUACCGCAUACGUCCUGAGGGAGAAAGUGGGGGAUCUUCGGACCUCACGCUAUCAGAUGAGCCUAGGUCGGAUUAGCUAGUUGGUGGGGUAAAGGCCUACCAAGGCGACGAUCCGUAACUGGUCUGAGAGGAUGAUCAGUCACACUGGAACUGAGACACGGUCCAGACUCCUACGGGAGGCAGCAGUGGGGAAUAUUGGACAAUGGGCGAAAGCCUGAUCCAGCCAUGCCGCGUGUGUGAAGAAGGUCUUCGGAUUGUAAAGCACUUUAAGUUGGGAGGAAGGGCAGUAAGUUAAUACCUUGCUGUUUUGACGGUACCAACAGAAUAAGCACCGGCUAACUUCGUG